GCGCGAAAACUUUACAAUGCUGGCAACAGCGAUAAGGGAACCUCGAGUGCCAGGUUACAAAUCUGGCUGUCGAGAUGCCUAAAAAGCAUUUCAUAGCAAGGGCCGGGCAAGACCGGUGCCAGCCGCCGCGGUAACACCGGCGGCUCGAGUGGUAACCGUUAUUAUUGGGUCUAAAGGGUCUGUAGCCGGCCGGAUAAGUCUCUUGAGAAAUCUGGCAGCUUAACUGUCAGGCUUUCAGGAGAUACUGUCUGGCUCGGGGCCGGGAGAGGUGAGAGGUACUUCAGGGGUAGGGGUGAAAUCUUGUAAUCCUUGAAGGACCACCAGUGGCGAAGGCGUCUCACCAGAACGGACCUGACGGCAAGGGACGAAAGCUAGGGGCACGAACC
This 386-nucleotide ribosomal RNA is filed under the name uncultured prokaryote. RNAcentral describes it as "bacterial SSU rRNA". It matches the Rfam family "Archaeal small subunit ribosomal RNA", at positions 339 to 725 of the family's 1478-position model. The record is from RNAcentral.